UACGUAGGUGGCGAGCGUUCUCCGGAAUUAUUGGGCGUAAAGGGUGCGUAGGCGGAGAGUUAAGUUUAUGGUGAAAGAGUGGGGCUCAACCCCAUACAGCCAUAGAUACUGGCUCACUAGAGUACUGGAGAGGGAAGUGGAAUUCCAUGUGUAGCGGUAAAAUGCGUAGAUAUAUGGAGGAACACCGGUGGCGAAGGCGGCUUCCUAGACAGAUACUGACGCUCAGGCACGAAAGCGUGGGGAGC
Molecule: ribosomal RNA, 245 nt
Filed under: uncultured Bulleidia sp.
Lineage: Bacteria; Bacillati; Bacillota; Erysipelotrichia; Erysipelotrichales; Erysipelotrichaceae
Description: partial 16S ribosomal RNA
Rfam family: Bacterial small subunit ribosomal RNA
Source: RNAcentral